This is a non-coding RNA of Pelobates cultripes (western spadefoot toad), 2406 nucleotides long. The record is from the annotation of a GenBank genome assembly. NCBI's taxonomy places the organism in Eukaryota, Metazoa, Chordata, Amphibia, Anura, Pelobatidae.
CAGUUUUAGAAAAGCAUUUAUUUGAAAAGGAUGACUAAAUCAUAACAUUUGGUUCAAUGAAAGCAUGCCAAAGUAAUGCAUGCUCUUGAAUUCAAAGGUGAACAAUGAAUUUAGGCAAUUAAAUAAUGAUAAAGACAAUAAUAUGACUAAACAGGUGUGACAAUCAAAGCAAUACUCUUUUAUACAUUACCAAAACUUUUUAUCACCACACACGCAUGGAGGAAAGAACAAUCACACAGGGAGUGGUGCUAUACAAGAACAUUGAGAACAUUAAAAAGCCACAAAUGUCAUUCUAAAGGUCUGAACAAGUAACAGUGGUUUGUCAAAUACUGGAAAUAUAAAUAGUAAUCAAUGUGAGAAUCUUGCAAUAUGUGAAUUAAAAAACAGAGCUAAUGCCUUAAAUACUUUAGUAUUCAUCCUUGUGACUUCAAACUUGCAUAAGAUUCAGAUAUUUGAUGCUGCACGACAGAGAGGGCUACAUUUCUGUGCAAGUGCUAUAAUAGGGGCAGCUUGACAGGACAUAUUAAAAUACAAAUGCUAACCUAACAAACCACAGUCAGAUUGUAAUAAUUCUGUGAUCAUAUACAGACAGAGUAACACAUUGAGCCAUAUGAUCAGCAAGACAAAUGGUGGCAUUCGAUAAAGUAAACAUGACCGAUUGAUAUAAGAAACUGAUUCUGUAUGUGUUGUAUCUGAUCCCUAAACAAAAAAAUAAAAACUGCAAAGGCUUUGCAGAAAAAUAUAUAAAAUCCUAUUUUUGGUUGUUGAAGAAGAAGAAAAAACAACAACAUUUAAGCAGUAAAGUGCUAACUUGUUAUACCAAUAAAACAUUACCCCUGAGUAUUUAAAAUGACACUGGGCACCAUAACUUCGUCAUUAGGAAUUACACACGGAACAGGUGUAUAUUUUUAUUGUGUGUGCACCCCACUCAUCUAUUAUAGGUGCCCCUUUGGAAGUGACCACAGGAAUUUGAGGAGAGCCUCUGGAAGUGGUUUAACCUUCCUGACGGUCUGAUUAUGUCAGUUUUUUUUUUUAUGUUAAAAGCGGUACAUUGUUUUUACAAAGUAUUGUGUGUAUUUUUUUAAUUAUUAUUUAUUUUAUUUUUUUACACCAAGGGCUCGUAGGAACAAAGUAAGUGAUACUACAGUGUAAUCCCGAACGUGGCUCAGGGUUACUGCUUUUGGAAAAUUAACCCUGAGCCACGCUUGGGAUUACCGCCAGAGAGGUUAAGCAGUAAGUAUAGCAGUUAGCAUGUUUGUUUCCUAUGUUACAAUUUGUGUAAGUCUCACCAAUAAUGGAGUACUGUGACGUUACCACCAUUCAAGAGGACAUCAGCCUGUGAGGAUUCUUUUCGUAAGAAUGCAAAUGCACCGCGCACCAGUGACAAUGUGGGGAAAUCUUGAUCCCUUCUUCAGAAAGUGUUUAAAGGAACUAGGACUCUUCAUACUUUUACAUAGGAUGCGGUCUUAAAGGGACAUUUUAGGUAUAUAAAAGGCAGGCAUGUAUUUGUUCGAGCAUAAAACAAAAUUUUAAAAAAAAGUGAAAACCAGUGUUCUACCCUACAGAGCACCCCCCCUCCCCUGAAACUCCAACCCCCCUGACUGAAAGGGAUCAAAACCCUUUUGUCACUUACCUGAUUCCAGCACUAAUGUCCCUUGGCACUGGAUGAGGAUCCGCCUCUGUUGAGCAUGGCAAUCGCAUUUGGACUACCCCAUAGGAAAGCAUUGCUUCAGUGUAUUCCUUUGGGGUUUUAGAUGAUACUGGAAGUCCUCAUGUAAAGAGUGAGGACGUCCAGAUUCAUUUAGCAGACCAAACGUUUACUAAAGACCCAGAAGAGCCUCUAGUGGCUGUCUUGGAACUGCCACUAGAGGUAGAGUUAACCCAGCAAAGUAAUUAUUGCAUUUUAUCAUGGGUUAAGGGGACAGGGGCACUGCACCCAGACCACUUCAAUGACAUGAAGUGGUCUGGGUGCUUAUAGUGUCCCUCUCACCAACAAGAUCACUAAUUAAAAUUAUUAAACAGCAAUGUGUGCUGUACAUCUCAAAAGAAAACAGCUUUACUUCACCUUUCCUAACCCUUUAGUGUCUAAAUACGUAGUGUCUCCAUUUAGCUCACACAUGCACUUAAAGGGACACUAUAGUCAACGGCACACCCAUGGUCUAUAAAAUUCCUAAGGAAAAUGCAUUCAAAAUUUUUUUUUAAAAUGACAAAGAUUACAAAUUUAACCCUCACAUUUGGCAGAGUUAAUAAAAAGGUUAAAUGAAAAGUGUCAAAAUACUCUGAGUAAACACCGUGGAAGAUCUACUUCCUAAAAAAAUAUAUACUUUUGUUUAGUGAUUUGUGACCACUAUUAAAGUUUCAGACUCCGCAGACAAUUCAUAAAUCACUUGUUGCAAUUUUUGUCUA